GCUUAACGGAUAAAAGCUACUCUGGGGAUAACAGAGUCAUCGCGCCUAAGCGUCCCUAGCGACGGCGCGGUUUGCUACCUCAAU
Molecule: ribosomal RNA, 84 nt
Filed under: Minisyncoccota bacterium
Lineage: Bacteria; Bacillati; Minisyncoccota
Description: partial 23S ribosomal RNA
Rfam family: Bacterial large subunit ribosomal RNA
Source: RNAcentral